This is a long non-coding RNA of Peromyscus eremicus (cactus mouse), 2391 nucleotides long. RefSeq lists it as uncharacterized. NCBI's taxonomy places the organism in Eukaryota, Metazoa, Chordata, Mammalia, Rodentia, Cricetidae. The transcript has 2 exons. The record is from RefSeq and is a predicted model, not a curated record.
UCUCAGAGCUUGUUCUGCAUCUUCAAAGCAGAGAAAAGCCGCCCAUGGAAGGUAUCCUAUCAAAUAAUUCAGAGAUAUUCCACAGAAAUUCCAAUUUCCUGUCUGGAUAUGGAUGAGUUCUGAGGAGAAAAAGCGAGUUUUUCCUAAAAGGAAACCAAUUGGUGUGCACGUAGCCCAUGCUGUCUCACCAUUCUAGAGGCCUUGUACCUGGUGUGUGCAUAAUUAAGACUCCAUAGACCUAGGAGGUCCCAAAGAGAGUGAUUACAUCAGCACUGCCCCUGUAGACACGAGGAAGAGCUCUAUGGUCCUAAACUAAGGAGAUGUCCAGAUUAAUACAGAGGGCUCCCGUGUCUCCGGAGCACCUUCCACUGCCAGCAAGCCACAGCUGUGCGUUUGACAAGGCCAGCUGGCUCCCAGAAGGCAGAGUGUUCAGCAACGUUCAGAGAGAGAAGAUCAUCUCCAAGUUUCUCAAAGGAAGCCUCCUAAAGAGAGUGUUUGGCUCGCAGCAGCUGAGAUGGGAGAGCCCCAACUCCCAGAAAGAGGAUCCCAGCCCAGCAUGUCCUAGCACCAGAAAGUAAGUCCGUAUUGCAAAGUAGACCCAAACUCAAAGUAAGCUCAUCCCAGAUGGCCAGGAAAACACCUCUGUACCGGCAUCCAGAGAACCAGAAGGCUUAGGAGGAACCGCAAACCCAGGGGCCAGGUCCAGCGGUAAGAGCAAAAUUAAACAGGAAACACGUAACUGAGAACGUUUUCAAAGUACCACCUGUAACACCGGCAUAGGAUGUGGGAUUCACCGAUGUGUGUGCUUCUCUUAUUUGGGGAAAUGUUUUUAAAUACAUCACUGCCAUCCACGGUAGGAAUAAGUAGAUUUGAAACAAAAUUCCUUAUAUUUUUUGGAAUAAAAUGGUAGCUUCCCAAAUCAGAUAGUUUUGUUAAGGAAGCACACACUAAAGGUUAAUAUUGUUGUUUAUUUGUUUGUUUGUUUUGUUUUGUUUUUCCAGACAGGGUCUCACUAUGUGGCUCAGGCUGUCCUGGAACUCACUCUGUAGACCAGGCUGACCUCCAACAACACAGAUAUCCACCUGCCUCUGCCUCCCAAGUGCUGGGAUUAAAGGCAUGCAUCACUACUCCAGGCAAAGAUUGAGUUUUAAAAUAAAACUUUAAAAUAGAAAAUGAAAAAAGAAAUCCUUCAAAGUAAAAACAUUUAACUCAUGUUUCUUUAAAAGGAAUUAUUCAAACACAAGAAAGCUAGGAUACUCAUGAUUAAUGAUCAUAAAAAAACAAAACCUUAAGUUGGGAAGAAGAGAAUCAGCUACUAAUGAAAGGCACAGAUGGGGGAAGGGAUAAAAUCAAGUUAUUAAUCUAAAGCGUAUGCUAAGUAUCAUCUGUCUACCAGUGAGUGAUUUGAGAUGUUUCCCACUGAUCGAAUAUAUGUAUUUUUAAAGUAUUUGUUCACAUUUUUGUGUACAGGUGUUUUGCCUCCAAGCAUGUCCGGGCAUGCAUGCCUGGUGCCAAAGAAGAGGGCAUCAGAUCCCCUGGGACCGUAGUUAUAGACAGUUGUGAGCUGCCACGUGGGUGCUGGGAAUCAAACCUGGGUCCUUUGGAAAGGCAGCCAGUGUUCUUAACUGCUGAGCCAUCUCUCUAACCCCUGAUGGAGUAUCUCAUUUAAAUACCACAGAAAAGGCAUACUGUUAAUUAGAAAAUAUUGACCAACUUUGUGAAAAUGCUUACAUAAUCCUACUGAAGGAAAUUCUGAGGUCAUGCAGGUGAGUAUUGAAAUAUGAAAGGCAUUGAGAGAUAGGCAGAAAUGGAAAUCUUUUUCCCUGAAGAAUAACUAAGAAAUGAUGUUCUUGGCAUUUCUUUGUGUAACCCAGGGCAAUAAAGAGACACAUAAGUUGAGGUGCUUUCCACAAUAGUAUCUUUCUGUCAUCAUUGUCCUCUCUGCCACAAGAGGAGAAGCUAAGGUGGGCUCUGUGAACCCUCUUAAGUUCCUGGCCAAGCUAAGGUGGGCUCACUGAACCCUCUUAAGUUCCUGGCCAAGCUAAGGUGGGCUCACUGAACCCUCUUAAGUUCCUGGCCCAGGGUUUGUUCUCAUUUCCUCUGAUCCAAACCUUCUGGCUCAGUGGUUAAAAGCAUGCAUUGUUCUUAGAGGACCUCAGUUCUAGUCCCAGCGCCCACAUCAGGAAGCUCACAACAACCUGUAACUCCAACUACAGGGGACAGUCCUUUGACCUUCUCAGACACAUAAGUAAAUUAAUAACAAAACUUCUCUGCUGUAGUUUGUAGAAAAAAAAUGGUAAAUACUACCAGACAGAGAAUAUUCACCUUAUUCUAGUUCUGUUUUGAAAAAAAAAAAAUGGUUUCCCUCUGUAUUAGCUAAAGAGGAACAGA